Molecule: long non-coding RNA, 455 nt
Filed under: Elaeis guineensis (African oil palm)
Lineage: Eukaryota; Viridiplantae; Streptophyta; Magnoliopsida; Arecales; Arecaceae
Description: long non-coding RNA (EGUI_LNC041670)
Source: RNAcentral
AAGACCCAAUUCACCCCCCCUCUUGGGCUCCGUAUCUGGGCAACAAUGAUAAUUUCUUGUCAAACAUAAGGUAAGAGCUCCUCCUGUACUUGGAUUCUCUUUUUUCCAUGAUUUCCUGUGGAGGAAGAUCACCGUUGGCCCAAUUUUUGAUGAGAAAUCACUGAUUUUUAGGUUGAAUAUAACCUACCCUACUCUAGCUAUGUUUUUUCCUUCUUUCCCUUUUUCCAACCACCAAUGCCAUCACCCUUUGAUGCCACACCCUGAGAUGAGUUUCCCGACCUCCCUACCAUCUAUCCUAGUGAGGCCAUGGUGGCCAAUGAGCCGCCAAUAGCCAAAAGACCCAAGAGAAAGGCCGAAUCUCUUGUUUUCGAAUCCUUUCCCUUCAUUUUCUUAUCAGAUGUUUAUCACUGUAGAUUGUUCCUUACUACCCACCACCGCUCAUGCAUUGCCGCCCA